Molecule: ribosomal RNA, 447 nt
Filed under: uncultured bacterium
Lineage: Bacteria
Description: bacterial SSU rRNA
Rfam family: Bacterial small subunit ribosomal RNA
Source: RNAcentral
UGGGGAAUCUUGGACAAUGGGCGCAAGCCUGAUCCAGCCAUGCCGCGUGGAUGAUGAAGGCCCUAGGGUUGUAAAAUCCUUUCGUUGGGGACGAUAAUGACGGUACCCAAAGAAGAAGCUCCGGCUAACUUCGUGCCAGCAGCCGCGGUAAUACGAAGGGGGCUAGCGUUGUUCGGAUUUACUGGGCGUAAAGCGCGUGUAGGCGGGUCGUUAAGUUGGGGGUGAAAUCCCGAGGCUCAACCUCGGAACUGCCUUCAAAACUGGCGACCUGGACCUAAGUAGAGGCAAGUGGAAUUGCGAGUGUAGAGGUGAAAUUCGUAGAUAUUCGCAGGAACACCAGUGGCGAAGGCGACUUGCUGGACUUAUGGUGACGCUGAGACGCGAAAGCGUGGGGAGCAAACAGGAUUAGAUACCCAAGUAGUCCCUGAGCGGGCUGGCAAGGCGCAU